UUUUUUUUUUACUUACAGUAGUUCCAGUUUAAUAUCAAUAACAAACUUUCUGAUAAUGCUUUUCAUACUAUUGUCCAAGUAGGCUGUAACAUAUUGCAAUACUUUAAAAGGUAUUCAUGGGAUGUGGGUGUCACUGGCUAGGCCAGCCUUUAUUGCUCAUCCCUAAUUGCCCUUGAGAAGGUGGUGGUGGAGUGCUUUCUUGAAAUGCUGGUUCUUGAAGGGACAUCUUUUAAAACAGCAUUGUGGGAGGCUGGAAAGGAAGUUGCAGGUGGUGGUGUUCCCAUUCGUCUGCUGCUCUCUGGUCGUGGAGCUUGCAAAACAGUUCUGUUGAAAGCUUUGGUGAAUUACAAUUGGAGUAUUAAUUCAUGGAUUUUUUUCCUAUGUUUUUGAGGCAGUUUUCUCCAUAGCAUUAUGCUCGCCUUACACUGUUGCAGCAUCAUUUCCAAAGUGACUACUGGCCAAUAUGUAAACAUCAAGUUUUAUAUCUUUGUCAAACUGCAAAUCAGGAUAAAAGAAAAAAAAAUCACACUAGGAGCAUUUAUUUCAAGGUAUGAAUUUAUUAUCUUUUUACAUUUUUCCUUUAUCAGUUGCUCCAACAUCACAACUGACCCCUGCUGGUUUCUGAUCAAAACGGCUAGAGUGUUGUAGGAUCUGAAGGUGAUGAGGCUGAGCACUGGAUAUUAGCUAUUCAAGUGGGUUAGGUCUACAAUCUUCUUCAAUAU
Molecule: non-coding RNA, 722 nt
Organism: Chiloscyllium plagiosum (whitespotted bambooshark)
Lineage: Eukaryota; Metazoa; Chordata; Chondrichthyes; Orectolobiformes; Hemiscylliidae
Source: RefSeq, a predicted model, not a curated record